UUUUUCGUCCAUCCAUUUUUAGGUUCGUCUCUCUCUAACUACCGGACAAUAGAGACUUUCUUUGUCAAGACUUCAUCUAGACCAAUAUGGAGUAGGAAUCCUAAUCUAAAUAGGUUCCUCAGAUCAUGAGUACUCUAAAUAGAACCCUUAUAUAAUAAUCAAAUAGAAAAGGUAAGAGUCGUUCUGCUAUUUAUUUGCUCGUCUUUCUUUAUUUAGUUCUCUAUCAAGAGGGAGACAAAAAAAUCAUGUCCAUGUGUUCCUUAUUUUAUAUUCUCCGUCCGUUUACAAAGCAAGCAAACUCCCAACUUCUAUCUCCUUUUUGAUUCAAGCUUGUAGAGUCCAAAUAUUUCACGGAAACGUGGUGGCAAUCUUUCUAAAUAUUUUUGUACAAAUAUUAUGUAGUAGUAACAAGACCGGACUCGAACUCCGGGUGCAGAACGACAGAGAUAUAUGGUAUAUAGCCUGAGGCACCAUACAUAUAUGUAUAAUAAUGAAUAAAUACAGAUAUAUCACGCCAUACCAUUAUUGUUAUUUUUUAGUUUGAUUUGAUUGAUUGAAGCUCAUCAGUAGAUUUGGAUGCAAUGAACCGCGUUGUGGUGUACUGGUAUGACCUCGUGACAUUGAAAAGGCGGCGGGCACAAGGACGACCAUGACCAAUGCGGCAUCGUGGCGCACAUGCCAGACAACAAGCGUGGCAUGAGUCGGACGUAGGUGGCUAGACCAAGGUCAUCACGGGAGUCUCUGGGGCACUCGAUCUGGUUCACUUUGACGACAGACGACGCUGGCAAUAGGCUGUCAUGUCAAGGCCAUCGGAGUAGCUCCAAUAUGACAUGGGGCUCGUUUUGGGCAACUUUAGGUACACUAUACCCUAUGACUCCGCAGGCUCACCGAGCUGUCUCUUCAUGUGGACGUGGUGUUUGACAACGGUGCACAAACACUCAUCAGGCAACGCACAAAUUGGUAGGAGCCCAAGCAAAUAAGGAUGACAAUUAAAAGCACAACAUGCGGAACCGCAAGAAGACGAACCAUGUCUUGUAGUCGAGACAGCGUUGCCGGCCACUUCCUGUCAGUCUCCUAGGCGUCCUAAUUGGUAGACUGUGUGUGUAUGGGCCGGCACCACUAUUGGGCUGUCGACCCAUUAGGGUUAGGAUUGUGAGUCUAUAUAUUGUACCCCAUCUCCUAUCAAUAUAUCAAGCACUUUCAUAAUUCUACAUGGUAUCAGAGGAUUAGGGUUCCCACAACCCAACUCCCACAGCCGCCACCUGCCAACCCCCACAGCCGCCUGCCUAGGUCUAGCCGCUGCCCCGGGAGGCUCAUCCUUCCCUCCUGGGGCGGCUCCCUUCCCAGCCGCCGGCCACCCCUUUGCCCUGACCGUCCCAAUUCGCUGCUCCCUCCCCUCGCCGGCCGGCCGCCGGCCUCCCCGGCCUAGGGGACGCCACGCCCGACGGACGGGCCCGCCUCCACUGGAUUCGCCCAGUCACUUGUCUCCGUGGUUGGAUCCGCCCGAGACGUCGACCCCUUCCUCUCCGGCGCGCCCGCUUGGCUCGCCCCUCUCACUCUGCGCCACCGGCGGCCGAUCGCGGUCCUCCCUCCUAGCGCCGCUGGCCGCCCUUUGGCCGGAUCGAUCUGCCGUCCCUUUGGGCUGCCGACCCAUUAGGGAUAGGGAUGUGAGUCUAUAUAUUGUACCCCAUCUCCUAUCAAUAUAUCAAGCACUUCCAUAAUUCUACACUGAUGGAUUAAAAGCUAUUGGAACUGGAAGCCAAAUCGUAUCUAAGGCACCGUCUCUAGAGCAGACUGCAUACAUCACCAGCGUGCUUGUGCAUUGGGUCACCUCUAUGCAUAUGGGGACCAACAAGGCAGACACUUAUCUAAGCCACGUGUGCACCACAUAGUUCCAGCCCAGGCUGCGUGAAGACAUGCGUGCGUGUUGCCAUGACUACUCCCGCAUGAACGUUGUGCCGUGGUGCAAUGUCGGCAUAGUUUCGUACUGUGGCCAUCACGCUAUCGGCCAGGGCUGCCUCGCCAUGGUCAGUAACACCAUGCGCACGUGGUGUCGUGGUCGCAAGUUCUAGCCACCUCGCUGUGGUCGUAUCUCGGAUGUGGCUAGACCGUUAAGUUUAAUUCCGCAAUUAUUUUGGUCAGCCAACGUGAUUAAGUUUUAGAAAAGACUAUUCACCCCAUCUUGUCCACCAUAUAGACCCUACGUCAGCAACCAGUGACACCCAUAAGUAAUGGUUAUAACUAGUGCUUCAUAUAUAUUGUAUGCAUCUCGUUCGUUUUUUAUUAAUCAUAUCCUAGAAAUGAUGUUCGCUCCUAGGAGGAUCGGAUCAAAAGUUGUUGCGGCAUUAAUCCAUGAUCGGAAUGCUCGACACCAAUAUUGGGAACCAUCCACAAGUGUGUCAAGUAUUGCUCACCAAUUUCUCAAAUAUAAUUGCGCCUAAAAAUAAAGGACUAAUAAAUACUUCACCGGACAUACAUCACUUGUCAACACUAGGCAUCUCAUUGUUUAUUAUUCGAUAUAUUGAGUAGGACACUACUCAAUAUAGAUUCAACACAGACACUUAAAUGUAUGAAAUCAACCAUGAAAGCAAGAUCAGACAUCACACUCGCAUUAUUCAAUUGAUGCUUGCCUUUCAUAUAUCAAGGCAUAAAAGGUAUAAAUAUAGCCUUUGCUAGUAGGCAAUCUAGCUUACUAGCAAAAGCUACCUUUAUACCAUUUUAUGCCUUGAUAUAUGGAGUUUCUUCAACGGUUUCCUCAUUAGUGUUUGGGUCCAGGCCAAAGUAGAUGACAACACGUAUAGCUCCGGCUGCGAGUUCGUCUGAAGGCCUCGGGCUCUCAUUCAAAUCCACAUCUACUGAAUCAAAGAAUGUUACAUCUGGCCGCUCUUGUUCUAUUACUGCAAUUGCAUCAUUAAUUUCCUUGCCAAUCAACUCGGGCCAACUGGUCUUGUUCUGCGUAGCCAUGAUCACGUACUGUCCUUAGCUUCUCUCUCUUUUGAAACUGUUAUAAUACCAAUAAGAAUCAAUAAUUGAGCAACAUUAGUGUAACGAAUAGAAACAUAAUAUGUUGUUUUGUGCUAAUGCUAUCAUACUUUCAUAGUAAGCAUAUGUCUUAAUCGAAUGCACUACAUAACUAUCGGGCUGCUAACAGUCUAUUAAAAUUUUAAAAAGAUACUCUUUUUUUCAAAGCAAUUACUAACAAAGAAUACAUGAUUACCUGAAGGGAAGAACACAGUAGCCUCUGGCGAUGAUACGUGCUCUAUGUAUAGGUGUGUAUAUAUACACGACGACAUUUGUAUUGUUGGUUGGAUGUUGUCGGUGAAAACAAUGCAAAUAUUUUUUCCACCAUUAAUUAGGAAAACACGAUCAUAUUGCCCUUUUGCUGCCAAUAACUGUAGUUCUCGACCAUAACAAUGCAGGCUUUGACUUAGUAAACAUCAUCAUAUCUCCUUGUUCACAGGGGGGCAGCUGAAUGCCCAUACUGUACACAGCCCGUGACUCAAACAAUAUACGUGUAAUCCAAAUGAAACAUAAAAAAGCCCUAGAAAUAGUGCUACCCACUAUGAUUAAUGUCAUUGUUGUCUAGCUAAAAUUUUUGACCCCACAUGCAUCGUUUCCUAACCUGACUCAAAUCUAACACAUGCCAGACUUUCGUGGUUUCUCAUGUUUUGUUAUUUUUGUUUUUUCAUAUAUUUAAAUGCCUCACAUGGCCAUGCACUGGAACCAGAUUCUUAGCUAUGGGCUGGCAUGAUGCAUCUGUCAACAAAAUCUCCAGUUUUCCACGCUGUUGAAUCGACAGGUACAGUAGACAAAUACAGAAAAGGGCUGGCCUGGUUAAAAAACGGCUCAGGUUAGCAAGCAGCCUGGCCUGCUUCACGUUUGAGAGAAGGUGGCUUCGAACGAGACCUGAUCGUUUCCUUCGUCCUGGGGCCUGGGCGACUUGGCUGGCUCUUGCUCAAUGGGAGUUGACAGGACAGAUCACGGCCAGCCAGUUAGGUCGCUGUGACGAGCUGUACAAGAGGAGUGUUCCGCGAUGAUGCGUCUCAAGCAGAUUUAUAUCGGAGGAGAUGAACCGCGUUGGCUCUUCUCUCGGUUCUGAAAGGUGGUCUAAGUGAAUAAUUUUUUUUCUUUAUCAAACCAGUUUUGGCUUAUUGUGUUUCUGAACAUAAUUUGCUUGGUUCAUUUGGUUACUGGUAGUUAUACCAAUGCAGAAUAACAAAGUUUUAUGGUGACUAACAAAAACAAAGGAUGCCCAACAUAUACUUUCUUGUAGAUAGGAAUAGUAGAUAAUCUCCGGUAUAUUUGGUAGUGGUUUAAACUAAUGUUUGUUGUUGUCUUGUCUAAUGUUCUGCUUGUAACUGUCUGUCAAGAACAUGACUUGACCUUAUGAAACAUAUUUGACUGGGUAUCUUUAGGGCUGAUAUUGUUGUUGAUAGCAUUAUCUAAUGUCAUGCUUGUAACUUUCUGUCAAGAACAUGACUUGACCUUAUGAAACAUAUUUGACUGGGUAUCUUUAGGGCUGAGAUUGUUGUUGAUAGCAUUAUAGCAAGUACGCUAGAUGUUACCUCAUUGAUUUUAAGUAAUGUCCUUAGAUAGUGAUUCUCGAUGCACCAUAUCUUUUCUCAACUCGAUCAAUCCUUGACAUUGCAAGUCUUCUUCACCCUGGCUUUGGGUUCCUCGGCCUCCUUGACCUUCCGUGCACUCGGUACCUCGAAGCUCUUCUUGCCUCCAGCCUUGGCUUGACCAGUUGUCUCCAAGAUAUGCACACCAAGUCUCACAUAAGCAAUCUUCUCCUUCACUUGUGGUGUCCACACCCUUAAUCAACUCAGCCUUUGGAACAUCACUCAUGAACACUUGAGUUGAACUUUACAAGUUUUACACAAAGCACCCGUCCAACACUUAACACACCUGUCAGUCCUUUAUUUGGGUUGUCAUUCAAACCACCCAAACCCACAAGAGAGCUUUCAGGUGGGCGGGUGGAGGAAGAGGCACAUGCAUCUAGGGAAGUACUUCAAUGUCUUGUGUUGUUUCGUGCCACAUGCAGAGGUGCGUGCAUCCACAGAAGUUCGUCCUGUGGCCUGCGGACAGUGGACGCGAGUGACCGGACGCGACGCCUAUGUCCAGUCGUCCAGGCACGACGCCUACGUCAGCACGUCCGGGCGCGAGGAGUUCUGAUUAUUUAUGUAUGGCAAAUACUCAUUAUGAAAAUAUAAAGGCAUCUAGGCACUAUGCAGCAGAUCAUGAAUAAAAAAGUAGUCCCUAAUAUAUAGCUAAUAAUAAAGAGGCAAAAAUUCAGCCUAUUUUUUGUCUAUCCAUUUUUUAGGCCCGUCUCUCUCUAACUACCAGACAAUAGAGACUUUCUUUGUCCAGACUUCAUCUAGACCAAUAUGGAGUAUGAAUCCUAAUCUAAACAGGUUCCUCAGAUCAUGAGUACUCUAAAAUUGAACCCAUAUAUAAUAAUCAAAUAGAAAAGGUAAGAGUCGUUCUGCUAUUUAUUUUGCUCGACUUUCUUUAUUUAGUUCUCUAUCAAGAGGGAGACAAAAAAAUCAUGUCCAUGUGUUCCUUAUUUUAUAUUCUCCGUCCGUUUACAAAGCAAGCGAACUCCCAAUUUUUAUCUCCUUUUUUAUUCAAGCUUGUAGAGUUCAAAUAUUUUACAGAAACGUGAUGGCAAUCUUUCUAAAUAUUUUUGUACAAAUAUUAUGUAGUAGUAACAUGUUCGGGCUUGAACUCCGGGUGAAGAACGACAGAGAUAUAUGGUAUAUAGCCUGAGACACCAUACAUACAUGUAUAUAAUGAAUAAAUACAUAUAUAUUACGCCGUACCAUUAUUGUUAUUCUUUAGUUUGAUUUGAUUGAGUGAAGCUCUUCAGUAGAUUCAGAUGCAAUGAACUGCGGUGUGGUGUACUGGUAUGACCUCGUGACAUUGAAAAGGCGGCGGGCACGAGGACGACCAUGACCAACAC
This 5962-nucleotide long non-coding RNA is filed under the name Zea mays. RNAcentral's name for it is "long non-coding RNA (ZMAY_LNC004181)". Lineage: Eukaryota; Viridiplantae; Streptophyta; Magnoliopsida; Poales; Poaceae. The record is from RNAcentral.